RNAcentral lists this ribosomal RNA (468 nucleotides) under uncultured bacterium. RNAcentral's name for it is "partial 16S ribosomal RNA". It matches the Rfam family "Bacterial small subunit ribosomal RNA", at positions 28 to 507 of the family's 1533-position model. The record is from RNAcentral.
GACGAACGCUGGCGGCGUGCUUAACACAUGCAAGUCGAACGGAAAGGCCCUGCUUUUGUGGGGUGCUCGAGUGGCGAACGGGUGAGUAACACGUGAGUAACCUGCCCUUGACUUUGGGAUAACUUCAGGAAACUGGGGCUAAUACCGGAUCGGAGCUCCUGCUGCAUGGUGGGGGUUGGAAAGUUUCGGCGGUUGGGGAUGGACUCGCGGCUUAUCAGCUUGUUGGUGGGGUAGUGGCGUACCAAGGCUUUGACGGGUAGCCGGCCUGAGAGGGUGACCGGCCACAUUGGGACUGAGAUACGGCCCAGACUCCUACGGGAGGCAGCAGUGGGGAAUAUUGCACAAUGGGCGGAAGCCUGAUGCAGCAACGCCGCGUGCGGGAUGACGGCCUUCGGGUUGUAAACCGCUUUCGCCUGUGACGAAGCGUGAGUGACGGUAAUGGGUAAAGAAGCACCGGCUAACUACGUG